Molecule: ribosomal RNA, 486 nt
Filed under: uncultured bacterium
Lineage: Bacteria
Description: partial 16S ribosomal RNA
Rfam family: Bacterial small subunit ribosomal RNA
Source: RNAcentral
AUUGAACGCUGGCGGCAUGCCUUACACAUGCAAGUCGAACGGCAGCACGGGUGCUUGCACCUGGUGGCGAGUGGCGAACGGGUGAGUAAUACAUCGGAACAUGUCCUGUAGUGGGGGAUAGCCCGGCGAAAGCCGGAUUAAUACCGCAUACGAUCUACGGAUGAAAGCGGGGGACCUUCGGGCCUCGCGCUAUAGGGUUGGCCGAUGGCUGAUUAGCUCGUUGGUGGGGUAAAGGCCUACCAAGGCGACGAUCAGUAGCUGGUCUGAGAGGACGACCAGCCACACUGGGACUGAGACACGGCCCAGACUCCUACGGGAGGCAGCAGUGGGGAAUUUUGGACAAUGGGCGAAAGCCUGAUCCAGCAAUGCCGCGUGUGUGAGGAAGGCCUUCGGGUUGUAAAGCACUUUUGUCCGGAAAGAAAUCCUUGGCCCUAAUACGGUCGGGGGAUGACGGUACCGGAAGAAUAAGCACCGGCUAACUACGUG